UGAGGUCACUUGAACUGCUAUAAUAGGUUUUAAGACCCCACAAAGCACACCAUCCUCACAAAAUCCACCCAUUACCACCUUUAUCUCUCCAUUACAACCUUCACCACCAUGAAUCGGCCUCAUACUACCAUGAAUCAACUCCCACUUUGGUGUUCUUGUUCUAUUAUCUUCAAUAAGAGAUGGAAUCAACAACAAAGAUUCCUCAUCAUAUGGAUCUUAUUUGUAGCAAAGUUCAAGCUUUAUCGUCAUCUUCACCGAAUCAUGCGCAUCUAAAUUCUAAAAUAUCCUUGACCCCAUCCCUAGAAUCUGACAAUGUAAACUUCCUUUCAAAAACUUCUUAAACUCUUUCCUACUAACAAAUCCUCCAUACCUUUGUUCGUUAGAACUCAACUUUUUAACAAUAUGACCAAUUACUUCACACCAGCAAGUCAAUUGAAGGUAAGAAGGGUGAACCUAAGUUUCUGCAGUACGACUAGAAAGAGAACAAGAGAGAAGGAGGUGCGAUUUGGGGUGGGUGCCAAGAAUCAAUUAUGAACGAGUCGCAAUGAAAAAGGUACCUAGUCUUGCGAUUUUUCUGUGUGGCUAUCGAACAAAGCGAGGGUGAAGAACAAAAUCACCCUCUUUUCUGCAAUAAAAUUGGAUUUUUAUUAAAUAUAUAAUAAGAUUAUUGAAAAUAUAUAUAUAAAAGAAAAAAAAAUAGACAACUUCUACCGACAAAGAUGACAAAUGACAUGCCACAUCAUCUUGUAACAUGCUAUUCCUUUCUCCCUUACAAAAAUGGUUUCUUUAACAGUUAAAAUGAAAAUUUAGUGAUUUAGAAUGCAUAAAAAAAUUCAAUGGCUAUUUAAAACAAAUGACAAAAGUUGGUUAUGCUAAAAUGGCAUUCACCCUAUUUUUAACGCAUAACAUAUAAGUCCAAAUAUUAUAUUUUUAUGAGCAAAUAUUAUAUUACUUUUAGAUUUUAACGAUACGUGAAAAAUAAAUCAUACAAAAAUAUGCCGACACUCAAUAAUAGUAUACAAUAUGUGUUAGAUGGAGACCCGUUAUAAGUCGUUUUCCAAUGACACUGCCUGAUUGUUCUUACAUGUGAGAUGGGCCAAAAGAACAAACACAAGCUUCUUGACACACGAUUUGUUGUCGUUGCCAAUAUUUGCAAUACAUAUGGAAAUUUGAACCGAAUUAUGCAUGCACUUAAAUUUUAUUUGUUAUAACCAAAUAAAUUAUGGGUUUAAUUCUAUAUUUGGCAUAUUUUAGCAUUACUACGGUUGUUUUAGUUUAUUUUUCAAGUUUUUUUAAUUUAUCCGUUUAUUUUUUAGGCUUAUAAAAAGUUAUUGUGUGGGUUAGUUUAUUAGCUUAAGCUUAUAAGUUUAUUUUAUCUAAAAACUAGUUGUGAGACUCAUGUAUUAUAUGAGUUAAUUUUUUUUGAAAAGUUAAAUAUAAAAGUCAAAAUAUUUCAGAACUUUGAAUUUAUAAGAAAAUAAAAAAAAUAUAUUAAAUUAUUAUAAUAGAAAUGUUUUUUAUCUUUUAAAUUUAAAAAAAAUAAUAAUUUAAAUAAAUAAAAGAAACUAAUAACCUUUAAUUUUAAAAAUUUUGAAAUUAAAAAGUAAGUUCAUCAAUGAAAUUGAUAUCAAUUUAUUAUUACAUUUAUUGCAAGUAUAAUAUUAAAAUGUAAAAUUUAAUAAAAUAUAAAAACUCAUAAAAUGACAAAUGAAAAAAAAAAGUUAAUUCAAAAUAACAAUAAAUUGACAUUUGACAAAUUGAAUGAUAGUGAGAUAAGUGACAAAAAAAAAAACUUUCAUUUAUCAUAAAAGAUAAACCAAUUGUUAUAAGUCAAGUAAAAACAACUUUUUUUUCAAAGGAUUAGUUUAUUUGUCUAUAUUUACCUAUUUACCCUCAAUCCUAAAUAAAUUUUUUUUGCAGCACUACAUUAUUCUCUUUUUAGUCACUUUAUAACCAAACACUAUUUAAAAAAAUAUAUUAGCUAAUAAGUAAUAAGCUAAUUCAAAUAUUUUUUUUUAUCUUAAAAGCUCAUAAGUUCUUAAGUUCUUAAGCUCAUAAGCUUAAGCCCAAAAAAAUAAGCUUACACAAACACCUCCUAUAUAUGCAUUAGUGGACAAAUUAUAUUACCACCAUAAAGUUGUAUUUCGAAAGCACUAGUGAUUACUGAUUAGUGUCAAUCGUGAACUUAUUACAGCUAAAAUGAUUUCAAAACAAAUUACAAAUUCCUUUCAACAAUGGAAGUGAUAUGAACACAAUAGUUUUUCUUCAUACAUAAUAAUUUAUGACUUAUAGAGUUGUACAAUGCAACAUUUUAAUACACAUAUUAUUGUAUAUCGAGAAAAUUUAUUAUGUAUAUAUCAACUCUCUUUCAACAAUCAAUAGAGUAAGGAGCUCAAUGAAAAAAUGAUACAAAGUAUUAAAAAAUCCAAAUUUUCAAAUUGUCAUAGCAAAUCAUAGCACUUGAUUUCAACCAAUUAAUAGAUUCUAUAUCCUACAAAUGAAUACUACGUACCACAUCUUGUUCUUGGAAAGAAAAAAAAAAGAUCACCACAAAAGUAUGAGUAAACGACCAUUUGCUUAUCUAGCAAAGUUGAGUAUUGUCAAGGAGGAACGUAAAGAAAUAAUGAUGGAUCACCUUUCGUUUAAUAUGAAGCUAAGACAUGCUUUCAUGCCACUGCUAACAAAAUAUCAUCACACUGACUUUGUGUGUGUGUGUGUGUAUAUAUAUAUAUAUAUAUANAUAUAUAUACUUAGAAAUUAAAUUAAAAUCUAACCGACUCGCAUAAAAAUCUGGAUUAUAAUUUACAAAUCAGCUUACCACAUUAUCCGGCGCAACCAUUCCUAUUUUUGCUUGGAGUUGUAACUAGAUCAUCCUUAUAGAGGGUAUCUUCAUUAAAAGUGACUCUUUACUCCUAAUCACUUUCAUGUUUUGAUUAUCCCAACAUCUAUAGCCCAUAUCAUCUAGACCAUAACCAAUAAAGAUACACUUCUUAGCUUUGGCUUCAAGUUUGUAUUGGUCUCAUCUUUAGACUUGACAUAAGCAUUACAACCAAAUAAUUUAAGGUGAGAGAGGGACAUUUCCCUUUUCUGCCAUUUCUCUUCUGGAAUUCUAAAACCAAUGGGGACUAAGGAUCCGCGAUUUAUAAGGUAAGCAAUUGUGCUCACUAUGUCUCCCCCAAAACAUUUUUGGCAUCCCUGCAUGUAACCUCAUGCUUUUAGGUAUCUUAUUUAACGUUUUGUUUAUCCUCUUUACAAUACCUUUUUGCUGAGGUGUUUCUAGCGCAGUCUUAAACAUUCUGAUUUUGUAUUCUACCCAGUAAUUAGUAAACUCCUUGCUUCUGUAGUCAACCGCACUAUCUGAAUUCAGACAUUUUAUCUUCAGAUUUGUCUCAUUUUCCACAGCAGCUUUGAACGUUUUAAAAGUAGAGAAAAACGUCGAAUUUAUUUUUUAGAAAGUAAACCAAUAACUUUCUUAUAGCAUCAUCUAUAAAGGUAAUGUAAUACCGGGAACCUCCUAUUGACGAAACUGAUGUCGGACCAAAGACAUCAGAAUGUGUCAGCUCAAGCUUCUUUGAUUUUGGUGGAUGACCCCUCUUCACAUAAGUAACUCUUUUUGGUUUACCGAAUAUGCAUGGUUCACAGAAGUCAACUAUCACAUUCUUCAGCUAUGGGAUCCUGCCUUUUGAAGCAAGCAUCUCCAUUCCCUUCUCACUCAUAUGGUCAAGCCUUCAGUGCCAUAAAUUAGAGGGCUCUCCAUCUCUAAUAGUUUCAUUUACUUCUUCUGAUGCCAACCUACCAUAUAUAGAGUUUCACUCUUCUUUCCUUGAGCAAUGAACAAGUUCCAUUUAAUAACCUGCCAUUUACCUUUUCCAAACUUUACAUCAUGUCCAACUGCAUCCAGUUCUGCCACCGAGAUCAACAUAUUCUUCAGAUUAGGAAUGUAUUUCACAUCCUUCAAAAUCUAGGUAGUACACAUUGAAAUUUUUAAAGCUACAUAUCCAAUACCAGUGAUCUUCAUAAUUUUACCAUCUACUAGACGAACAAUACUGCUAUAAGGUUUGAAAUUUCUCAUGAUUUCUUUGUUGCGGAAAGCAUGAAACAAUGCUCUUGAAUCUAUUACCCAGGACUCGACUAAAUUUUCUACAAAACAAAUCAGUACAUCAUUGUAGUCUUCAGCCAUAUUCAUAUCCUUCUUGUCAUUAUCUACAGGAGAUUUAGGACAUUUAUUUCUGAAAUGUCCUAUUUCGUUACAACUCCAGCAGCCGAUUUCUUUGCUGCUUCUUGAUUGUCCUCUUUUCCUUGAUUUUGAUCUUUUUCUUCCAUAUCCACCUUUGUUUUGUUUUCUGCCCCCCUCUUCUUGUGACGACCGUCAAUUUUGGUCAAAAAAAGUCAACAAAAUUCAACUAGGUCACUCAACUUGUAUUAGAAUUCUAGGAAUAAUGUGAUAUUCCCUAAUGUUGCUAAUGUACUAUUGACAACUUAUAAUACAAAGUACCUCUCUUAUCGCCAAUUAUUGAGCCUAAACCCUAAUUGGGGUUAGUAACGUAAAGAUUCUAUAAUUCAAUUAUAUAUUAUUUAGGUAUAUCUAAUAUCCGUAACAAGGGUUCGUAAACUUAUGCUACAUGGCAAAUUCAUAACAAAUGUUACAUAUACAGAUUUUUGGUGAAUCCGUUACCAAAUGCGACAUAUUCUAUACCCAACUUAAACACUCAAAAGUUAACGAAAAGAAUUAUGAAUCAUCCUAACUUUCGUGAAAGGUGCUAUUAUUUUUUUAUAAUAAUGAUUUCUACAAUAAUUUGAAUUUAUAUGGUUCAAAUUAAAUAAAUAUACAUCCUUUUACCACACUUUUUAUAAAGAUCACUAAUUUUAGAAAAAAUUCCUAUCCUUUUAUAAAUAAAUAAAUAAAGACACAUUUUGUUUUAUAUGAUGAUUAUAUCUUUUAAAAAAUAUUAUUAUUUAAUUACAAUGACCAUUCUUGAAUAUUUAAUUCAUAAAGUCUCAACCUACUACCUUACCCCAUACCCUACCCCCUACACCCCUCCCUUCUUAUUCUCGGCCAAAGCCCCCUCCCCCCCCCUCACUCCAUUUUCUUCAUGUCUCUAACUUCUUCACUUUCUUCAUCUUUUUCUUUAAGAACAACUCAAAUUCUCUCAAGGUUAAUUCGCCGUAAGUUGGUUCUUCAUCUUUUGGUAAGCUUUUCCUUACUUAUCUAGUGAUUCUACACAUAAAUAUACUAGUUUUGUUACAAUUACACACAUUAAUAUGUGUUAAUAUCCAUAGGAUAACUCCAUCUUCAAGUGUCUUCAAGUGUUCUUGGCCUGAAAUCAUUCAUCUUCGCCACUUUAUCCACCAAAAACACACUCAAUGUGAGUUCAUACCCCUCAUUUUCAUUUUUAUCCAAGUUUUUAGGGGGGGGGGGAUACAAGUAAACUUGUAUAAUAACACAAGUUGUUAUGCAUGCUUCUUCUUUAUGUUGUGUAAAAGUAUUAUUUGCAUGAAAUAAUGUUUUUACCUAGUAUUAUGAAAAGUUUUGUGUGGUAAGUUUUUUUUUAAAUGCAAAACUAUGACAAAUGAGUAUAAACAUGCUUUAUGUUCUUUAGAAGAUGUCAUAAAAACAAAAAUAUAAAAACUAUGGUUUUUAUGAACACAUAUGGGUUUUCUAGCAAAAAUGGUCAUGAAUAAGUUGUGUCACAAUUUUUGUGAAAUUUGACUUAAAUUUUGUUGUUUUAAACAUAAAAGGAUAGAUUGACUUAAUCUCUACAAAAAGGUAAAAUGAACUUUACAAAGUUUAUAACUCAAUAUUUACCGUUUGGUGACGUAAAAAGGCCAAAAACCAGAAAACUAAUUUUAUCAAACAAAUAGUUCAUAUACUUGUGUUAGAUGUAUAAUAUAUGGUCUUAUGAACAUCUAAACAUGUUAUCUUAUAUAUAUAUAUAUAUAUAUAUAUAUAUGUGUGUGUGUGUGUGUGUGUAUAGGUACAACAAAACAUUUAAGAUAAACUAUAAUAUGUAUAGUUUAUGGGUCAUUAGCACUAUUUUAACGUUUUGUGACAAAGCAAAUAAUUAUAUAAAGGUAUAAUUAUUUUACACUAUGUAAGUAAUAUGGAGAGGUGAUAUUUUCACUAACAAAUGGUUUUCAUUACACUAUAUGUAAACUUGUUGAUAUAAUUUUGUGAGACAUAGUCUUCACCGUACCUACCAGAGUACACACUAAAGUCCUGAAUUAUAACUAGAAUCUCAGCAAGAGAGCGUGACAUUUGUGUAUAGAUCUAUACGGGACUGACAAUCCCGCACCUAAGCUGCUAGCAAAGGCUAGACUAGCAGGUAUGGGGUGACAAUUGUCUAACAUUCUGACGCCUAAAGAACGUCGUAGCCGGCCACUAUGGUUUUAGCAUGGUUGUAAUAACUCACAUGGGGAAUCAGCAAAUACAUUUAGUUUACAGGGUAACACGCAUUCAAAUGUUUUAUAUAAGAACAAAACUAUGUAAUACUAUUUUAAGUAUGAAAAUACUUAUACAUUUUUGGUCUUAAGGUUUUUAAGACUACAACUCAUUUUUAAGAAAAUAUUGGAUUUUCUGGGAACGAAUACUGUCAUUUUAUAAGGAAAAAGUUACAGAUUUUCACAUACAAAACUCUUAUGAACUCACUGAUAGUUUUGUUUUUAUUACUUCUUUUCAUAGUUUAUUUUUAGUUAAAACCAUAUCAUUUUAGUUAAUCUUCAUGCAUAUUUUCUCUUUUUGUUAUUUUUCUACUUUACCGGGUGCUUUCCAGUCUUUUGAGCUUAUUUGCAGGAUUUAUCGAAAACUAUUUGUUAUUGGAGGUGUGGAAGGAGUGCGGGACUGCUGGAGGCUUGCAAUUUGUUCAUGGACUUGAAGUGGUGUAAUUGGGCUUGGUAUCAAUAUAAGCAAGAAGCGCGUCCGACUUAAAUUUCGGGCGGGACGACGAGAAUUCGAGCUACAGAAGAUUAAAGAAGCAUUGGAGCAUCUUGGAAGAGUUUGGAAGGAAUAAUUGGGCUAUCAAGACCUUGCACAAAUGGGAUGGACCAUGGAUGAGAAGAGCAAUCUAGAAGGCCAAUCAAAUGGGCCAAAUGGCCUAGAAUCCACGCGGUCCGCGUGGAUUUACAAAUGGUCCGCGUGGAUCGCACUGUGAAGAAUCCAAAUUUUUGACUUUUUGACUCUAUUUUGGGAAGGUUGGUGGAAUACUUUUGGGGGACUUUUACAUCUAAAUUUUUACACCUAUUUAUUGGCUUUUUUGAGGAAGAAAAUGGGGGGAAGACUUUGAAGAACAACACUUUUGCUCUCUAGAAUAUUGGAAGAUUUAGAAGCUUGGAGCAAUUUUUCUUCCAACUUGCAUCUUGAACAAUGUUUGGUAUCACUAAUCUACUUUGCAUUUCUUUCAUUUUGGCCAUGCUUGGCUGGACUCAUAUUGGGUUGACUUGGAUGUAAUUGCUUGAAUGUUUUGGUUAUUUUGAAUAACUCCAUGAACUUGUUUUGAAUAUCUAUGAUUAUAUUUUCUAUAAAAACUUCCUUCAUGUUUAUAUAUAUCUAGUCAUGAAUAUUGAUAUGCG
This 7566-nucleotide long non-coding RNA is filed under the name Lactuca sativa (garden lettuce). RNAcentral's name for it is "long non-coding RNA (LSAT_LNC006737)". The record is from RNAcentral. Lineage: Eukaryota; Viridiplantae; Streptophyta; Magnoliopsida; Asterales; Asteraceae.